This 294-nucleotide unclassified non-coding RNA is filed under the name fungal sp. RNAcentral describes it as "partial internal transcribed spacer region". The stretch from base 1 to 46 matches the Rfam family "Eukaryotic small subunit ribosomal RNA", at positions 1786 to 1831 of the family's 1831-position model. Lineage: Eukaryota; Fungi. The record is from RNAcentral.
AAGUCGUAACAAGGUAUCCGUAGGUGAACCUGCGGAUGGAUCAUUCAUGUGAGGAUGCACAUGCGCACGCACGUCGUGCGCUGUGCAAUCCGCCUGUCCUGUGCAACGUUAUACAUACAUACAUACAGUGUAGUGUGCAUGCGCACGCGGUCAUUGCGACCAACAUGCAUGCAUGCACGCUUUUUCACACUGUGCACAUGCUCAUGCAUUUAUUCAUUCAUUCAUUCACUACUCGUACUGACAUUACAUACAAAAGAACCUUGAAAACUGCCAGCAAUGGAUCCCUCGGUUCUC